Molecule: long non-coding RNA, 698 nt
Organism: Numida meleagris (helmeted guineafowl)
Lineage: Eukaryota; Metazoa; Chordata; Aves; Galliformes; Numididae
Exons: 2
Source: RefSeq, a predicted model, not a curated record
GUUAAGAAAACCACCCACCAUCAGAGUGCCUAAAGAACAGUGGUGUGCCUUUUCAGAGCCACGAGAACUGCCCAUCUGAAGUGGACAUCUGCAGCUGGAGGCUUUUCUGAGCGAUUUUAAUGCCCAAUAAAUUGAAUGGGAGAAGGAGGACUGCUAGGAGGUUGCUGUGGGACUCAAGAGCAUGCAUCAUUUUUCCCAUUUGGUCAAAGCCUUCCUCUUCCUGAGUGACUUUGACCAGUUCACUUGGGUUCAGAUUUUCUAACUUAUGGAAAUACUUUAGAAAGGACCUACUUUUUACAUACUCUGUUUUCCAACUCUAAAAUAACAUGCCCCACAAAAUCACUUCUUUUCUCUAUCUUGUCCUUAUUUAUGAUAACACUUAAAGAACAAAGAACUUACCUGGCUUUUGUCUCAGCAAAUCCCACCAAAAGACUGCAAGAUCUUGGAGGCUUAGUCUGGCCUUUCACAAGAGGAUCUACCUCAUGAUGAGGAGGCCCUGUGCUGGUCUUAGACCUUGAAUUGCUGCCACAUAUCAGGUAGUAAAAUAAAAUAGCAAACUGGUGUGGAUGGCCAUUCCUCAAAGAGUAUGGCUUAUUUGCACUGAGACUUCUGAUUGCAGAAUGAGAAAUUACAAUGAUUGUACCCUGGAAAAAAAUGAGCACAGCUAAUAGAGGAGACAGUAUGCUAAAGGAAGUGUA